UACGUAGGUGGCAAGCGUUGUCCGGAUUUACUGGGCGUAAAGAGCGCGCAGGCGGUCGAUUUAGUCGAGUGUGAAAUCCCCCGGCUCAACUGGGGAGGGUCACUCGAUACUGAUCGACUCGAAGGCAGGAGAGGGAAGCGGAAUUCCCGGUGUAGUGGUGAAAUGCGUAGAUAUGGGGAGGAACACCAGUGGCGAAGGCGGCUUUCUGGCCUGUUCUUGACGCUGAGGCGCGAGAGCGAGGGUAGCAAACGGG
RNAcentral lists this ribosomal RNA (253 nucleotides) under uncultured bacterium. RNAcentral's name for it is "partial 16S ribosomal RNA". It matches the Rfam family "Bacterial small subunit ribosomal RNA", at positions 524 to 776 of the family's 1533-position model. The record is from RNAcentral.